CGCGUAGGCGGCCCGAUAAGUCCGCUGUGAAAGUCAACGGCUCAACUGUUGAAUGCCGGUGGAUACUGUCGGGCUAGAGUCCGGAAGAGGCAAGUGGAAUUCCUGGUGUAGCGGUGGAAUGCGCAGAUAUCAGGAGGAACACCUAUAGCGAAGGCAGCUUGCUGGGACGGUACUGACGCUAAGGCGCGAAAGCGUGGGGAGCGAACA
RNAcentral lists this ribosomal RNA (207 nucleotides) under uncultured bacterium. RNAcentral's name for it is "partial 16S ribosomal RNA". It matches the Rfam family "Bacterial small subunit ribosomal RNA", at positions 568 to 774 of the family's 1533-position model. The record is from RNAcentral.